CCAUGCUGGACCUGAAUACGAGUUGAUAUUGAAUAACCUACUGAACACUUCAGAUAUAUUUAGUGGCAGCACAGCUCAGUCUAGCCAGUGAUAUGGAUUAGCAUUACAUAGGAUAAGCUCUGGUCAUCAUCAAGCUAAUUCCCAUACCUAUUCAUUUCAUUCGACCCCAAUGGUAGUUUAGAAAUCUCGCCGGCCGCGGACAUGUCCCAUAUUACAAAGUCACAGGUAGGAAGCGAAGGUUUAAUUUUCAGCAGUGCAGCUUUGUCGUUCACGUUGUGCAAAAAUGGUCAAGAUUUGUCAUGGGAGACAAGUAAAUUUUUGUUGACGCUUAGACCUAGCAUUUAAAAAAAUAUAAGUCAUACCUCGCGUCUGGCCCUCUCAGCGAAAGCGAGACCCUGUCCCCUCUGUCCCCGUCUGCUGCCUCAAGCCUUCCUGUAAGCAAGAAUUAGUUCUCUAUGCAAAUACCGCUCCGCAUAAAAAUUCGGCGUACGGCAAAUUUGUUUUGUACCGACCUAUAAUAGAACCUUGACGGAGACUCCUCGCAUGAAGCUCGUACCUUGGAUGACGGAACCUUGGCUCCCAUUCGUUGACGUCCUCGACUGAGACGUUCACUCUCGCUGUAUCGUUCUGAACAGUAGCAAUUUGGAAAAUUGAUUAUGGAGCUAAAGUUAAAAUGAAGAGACAGAAAUGGAAACCCAACGCCUUACGUGGUGCCCGUCCGUCACGUGAACCCGGAAGCUGUGCUGUAUCCGACGCUCGUAGUCUAGGGUACCCUUCAGGAUGAGCUCACCGGAUCUUGUGAUGGCGAACCUCUCGAGAUCCUCGCCCGCCCCGACCAGCCAGAACCUCAAGUUCUACAGUUAGGUAACGUAUGAAGAGAUCCGUUUACCGGCUGUGGGUCCGGCGCCGAGUCCUCCCUCCCGGGCGACGACGACAGUUGCCAGAGCGUAUCGAUCCGGAUUGUCAACCUGGGUCGCCUGCGAUUGCCAUGAAUGGAACAACAUAGACAUUACAAGAACAUCGACUCGCCUUUAUCACCAGCGUCGUGGGUGCGACGACCUCGUGGUCCCUCAGGCUUCUGGUGAGCACCACGUCCCCCGUCCCCGGGUUCAGUGAGAGGAACGAAACGGCUCCCCCUUGAAGCGUGUAGCGAACCGGCGAAUUGAUCCCGGUAUCCUGGUCCACGGCCCGUAUCGCCGCUGGUUCCACUCCCAACGUCGUCCCCUGCAUCGCGCGAGGAGUGAUCUUGUAUUGGUCGUUUAGGAAGGCUGGAUUUUGGUCAUCGGCAUCGAUCACGUUCACCCGAAGGGCCGUAUCCGUCGACUGCGGGGGGUUGCCUUGGUCCUAUAGGAAGAAACACUCAUAAGGAUGUACCUUAGCAUAUACUGAUUCUGAGAGAGAGAAACAUCAUCUCGUGCAAACCUGGGCUCGAAUUCCAACGGAAAAGUUGCUCAGUGUCUCGUAGUCCAGUGGCUUGCGCAAUACCAGAGUGCCUUCCAGAGCGUUUACAAACACGAAGUAGUCCUAUGCGGAUAGACAGUUAUAUACGGCAGGUCAUGCACGUGCUCGGGGUACCUGCAGACGGAGUCUCUCACCGUCCACGAACACAGCUGGCUGUACAUAACACUAAAAGUAACGAAAUUUGUCGUCGAUGCAAUGUUCAUCAUCUGCGCUACCCAGGUAACACAAAACUGAAGUUUGUCUAUCAGACGUCUUAUGAGAGUCUUAUAACGUGACUUUGGACGCCUAAAGGAGGUCUUAUAUCCAAAUGACGUCUUUGUGACGUUGGACGUCUUUUGGAGACCGAAAUUCGCGUCAUAAGAUUUCCAUAAGACGUCUGAUAGACAAAUUUUAGUUUUGUAUCAGCUAUAGAUAACUGCAGCUUCGUUAUAGUCAUCAAUUCGGUGAAUCAAAUCACCCAUCAUAAUCAUCUUCACUGAUUACAAGUUUUACGAAGGGAAUUCACAAAUAAUA
Molecule: long non-coding RNA, 1974 nt
Organism: Neodiprion fabricii
Lineage: Eukaryota; Metazoa; Arthropoda; Insecta; Hymenoptera; Diprionidae
Exons: 6
Source: RefSeq, a predicted model, not a curated record